AGUGAAUAAUAAUAUUGUAUUUAUAUUAAUUUUCAGAAUAUAUCUAUAUUUAUAUUUACAUAUCUGAAAUUAUAAAAAGGUUUUUGGUAAAUGAUAAAAAGCUAAACCAACAUAACCUUGCUCUAUCUACCCGAUUCCGUCUACCUCGGCGCAAGCCGCCCGCGCCUCCCCCCUCCCUCUUCCCUAUCUCAAAUGUAUUGUUUUCCACUGAGGUUUUUCCUUUAUCAUGGGAACCAAACCUUAAUGAGCUUUGGCUAAAUGUCUUGUUUUGCCAGGCCAUUUUACUCUUACGCUAUGGGCAUAUCUUGAGAUGAUCAUGAAGAUGUUUGGUUUCAUUUUUUUGUCUCUCCUCCAAGCUUUUUUGCACACCAAUUGCACUUUGCUUCAAUUUUAUCCCCAACUUUAACCCUUUUGAAUUCAUUCCAAAUAGUUGAAGUCAACUUUCUCUUUGAACCAACACCACCAUUCUAGUCUUCAUCAUUAGAUACUUCAAUCUCUUCCACUUCCUCAUUUCCUCCUAUUGCUUCGGAACCAUUAACAGAUGGUAUAGAACCUUGUUGUGACUGCGAUUCAUUGACAUUAUCGCCCUGAUUGUGGUUGCUCGACGACAUUAUCUCAAUAUCAACUACAAAAUGAAAAGAAAAAACAUAUAGUGAAUGACAUUAAGCAUACAAUGAAUGAAACUAACAAACAUUAGUAAUUUAAGCUUUCACUUAAGCAUAUUGUGGAAUGCUAAGGAUGAAGACCUGUCACCCAUACACUUUUGAGACGUUUUGAUAUAACAAAAUCAAACAAAUAACACAACUCAGUUUAAAUCAGCAAUACAUUGUUCUAACAAGCUGGUGCCUAACAAGUUCAACCAGGAAGACUGAUAAUCACCUCAAUAAUCAUGCUCAAACUAUAGGUCUACGGGAUAGGUUGCUAUUCUUGUUUGCUACUUAAUUUUAGAUGUGAAUGCAAUAGAGAUUAGGGUCGCUCAUGACUCACCUAGUUGGAAUCUUGUAUUGUAGUGAUAUGGUCAGUCAGGAAUUUAGGAUUAUGUGGAUGAAGACAAAAUGGAAUCAUUAUUUAGGUAAAGGUCUAAAAAAGAAUAAUUUCUAAAACAGUGCAGAUUAAUUCAUUCAAUGGCUAUGUUUAUAAUGAAUUGUUGUUAUGGCAGGGGAUCCCUUAUAGCAGCAGGUAUCACUGCUCAGGUUUUUCUUAUGUUAACCUGUAGCUCGGAUAAUGGUAGUUCCUACAUUUCUGUCAAGGUUUGCAAUUGACAAGCUUGCUGGCAAGCACUUUUUUCCUGCCUUAUAGAGUUGUUUAUUUUGGAUAUAGAUUUAGAGGGCAACAUAUAAUAAACAGUUAGUAAAUAGUGUUUGGACCUCUUCUCGACCAAUAUAGAUGUCUACAAAGAAGAUAUGUAGAGUCAUUAAGUUGUGAGAACAACACUAUCUGGAUAUCAUAUUCAACAAAUCAAUAAAGUUCUCCAUAUAUUGUAUAUGCAUAUCUAAAUUAAUAAUAAAUUGAUAUUCUUAUGAUUUGAAAGCUGACAUGUAUUGUAUACGUUCUUUGGAUUAUUCAUAAAUUCUUGUGGAAUAAUAAACUAACAGAAGCAUCAGCUAAUUGGCUGCAUAAGAAAAAAAAUAUAAACCUUCAGUGGCUUUCUUCGGCGUUCUGAAUUCAAGUUCAAUUUGCUUACAGAAACUUGUUUCCUCUAGAAAUUUGUUAUGCCUAGUCGUCUAUCUGGAACUGAAUCCCAUAACAACACAUAAGUUUAGUAUUCACCAAAAAAAGCGGAAUGGAGCAAUGGAGUUAAAGAAAUAAGCGAUGGAAUAUUAUAAGGAAAACAAAUUAAGUUGAUUGAACAAAACCGCUUUUACCUGGAGAGAGAGAGAGAGAGAGAGAGAGAGAGAGAGAGAGAGAGAGGCGUUGUAGCGACAUCAAAAGAAAAAAAAAAGCAAAUUUAUCGUAUAAUUCUGCAUUGUAGCAUAGUAAUAUAAGAUUCAUGUAGUUAAUACGUUUUAUGGUAAUUGGUAACUGAGCAUAUGCGUUUCCAAGUAAAAGCGUGGCCAAUAAUCAUAUCGGAAUGAAGUCAUAAUGUUGCAUAUUAAGCAGCCAAUUGUAUCGAAUGUGACAACAAGGUUUUGAUACAUUGAAGUUCCAUUUGUCUCAUUUACUAAAUUAUUCCAACAAUAGAAUAGACAUUUUCUCUUAAGAUAAAUACUUCUUUAAAUCCUCUCAUUUUUUGUGAACAAAAAAAAGAGCCUUAUGCUAUUUCAUUUACCCUGUUCUCAUCAUUGAUCUAUGUCAAGUAAUCAGAAACGAAGAACAUGGAUAUCAUAAUCUGGAAAAAAAGAUGGAAUAACUUGUAUCCGUAUUUAUAUCCAAAUCUAUGGUUGCUGGUACUCUUUUAUUUUUACUGCUAGCUGGAUCUAAAUACUCUUAUACUGUUGAUAAUUAAUAAUCGGAAGUGCAGAAUAGGUGAUAUGGGGGAGGCUGCGAGAGGGACCUCUGCGGAGCGCACAAGAGGGAGGAUCCGGGAGUCAUUGCGGAGCGCACGAGGAGGGAGAACGGAGAACCAGUGUUGCUGUCGUGGGGAUCGGAAUUUUUUCCCCAGACGACUCUUCGUGCGGAGCCUAGAAUGUUCCCGACGACGAAGAAAAGCGGUAUUUUUUUUUGGGGGUGAAGUCUAGCGGAGAGGACGAAUGGUGAUGAUGUCCGAUGAAGAAGCAUCCAACGGAUAUGGUGAAACGAACUGACGUAGAGUGACGGGAUUCAAGAAUUGCUCCGCGAAGGUGAGCCAUUGAUUCGUGAUCAAGUGGGUAGGAGGAAUUCCAGUGUCCCAUCAGUGUGAUGGUUUGGAAAUAUGGUUUUCUGGAGGUAAAUUGGACCAUACGUGAGAAGGACCUUUUCCUAAAGGAACAGAAGGUAUUUGGGCUGUCAUUUGUUCGGCCUACUCAGCCCAUUACACGUGAGUGACUACUUUCCCCAUCCGACCUGCACAUAAGCUGCCGCCACCGUGUCUCUCCUCUUCAUCC
This 3023-nucleotide long non-coding RNA is filed under the name Zea mays. RNAcentral's name for it is "long non-coding RNA (ZMAY_LNC002098)". The record is from RNAcentral. Lineage: Eukaryota; Viridiplantae; Streptophyta; Magnoliopsida; Poales; Poaceae.